This 253-nucleotide ribosomal RNA is filed under the name uncultured Paracoccus sp. Its description in RNAcentral is "partial 16S ribosomal RNA". It matches the Rfam family "Bacterial small subunit ribosomal RNA", at positions 524 to 776 of the family's 1533-position model. The record is from RNAcentral. Lineage: Bacteria; Pseudomonadati; Pseudomonadota; Alphaproteobacteria; Rhodobacterales; Paracoccaceae.
UACGGAGGGGGCUAGCGUUGUUCGGAAUUACUGGGCGUAAAGCGCACGUAGGCGGACCAGCAAGUUAGGGGUGAAAUCCCGGGGCUCAACCCCGGAACUGCCCUUAAAACUGUUGGUCUUGAGUUCGAGAGAGGUGAGUGGAAUUCCGAGUGUAGAGGUGAAAUUCGUAGAUAUUCGGAGGAACACCAGUGGCGAAGGCGGCUCACUGGCUCGAUACUGACGCUGAGGUGCGAAAGCGUGGGGAGCAAACAGG